UACGUAGGGGGCAAGCGUUGUCCGGAAUCAUUGGGCGUAAAGAGCGUGUAGGCGGCCCGGUAAGUCAGCUGUGAAAGUCCAGGGCUCAACCCUGGGAUGCCGGUGGAUACUGUCGGGCUCGAGUCCGGAAGAGGAGUGUGGAAUUCCUGGUGUAGCGGUGAAAUGCGCAGAUAUCAGGAGGAACACCAAUGGCGAAGGCAGCACUCUGGGACGUGACUGACGCUGAGACGCGAAAGCGUGGGGAGCAAACAGG
RNAcentral lists this ribosomal RNA (253 nucleotides) under uncultured bacterium. RNAcentral's name for it is "partial 16S ribosomal RNA". It matches the Rfam family "Bacterial small subunit ribosomal RNA", at positions 524 to 776 of the family's 1533-position model. The record is from RNAcentral.